UGAGGGAAUAUUGGGUCAAUGGGCGUGAGCCUGAACCAGCCAAGUAGCGUGAGGGAUGACAGCCCUAUGGGUUUUAAACCUCUUUUGUUCGGGAAUAAAGUCAGGUACGUGUACCUGUUUGUAUGUACCGUUCGAAUAAGCAUCGGCUAACUCCGUGCCAGCAGCCGCGGUAAUACGGAGGAUGCGAGCGUUAUCCGGAUUUAUUGGGUUUAAAGGGUGCGCAGGCGGCGCGCCAAGUCAGCGGCCAAAGUUCCGGGCUCAACCCGGUGUCGCCGUUGAAACUGGCGUGCUCGAGUGCGUGCGAGGAAGGCGGAAUGCGUUGUGUAGCGGUGAAAUGCAUAGAUAUGACGCAGAACUCCGAUUGCGAAGGCAGCUUUCCAGCGCGCUACUGACGCUGAGGCACGAAAGCGUGGGGAUCGAACAGGAUUAGAUACCCUGGUAGU
This 443-nucleotide ribosomal RNA is filed under the name uncultured Porphyromonadaceae bacterium. RNAcentral's name for it is "bacterial SSU rRNA". It matches the Rfam family "Bacterial small subunit ribosomal RNA", at positions 354 to 794 of the family's 1533-position model. The record is from RNAcentral. Lineage: Bacteria; Pseudomonadati; Bacteroidota; Bacteroidia; Bacteroidales; Porphyromonadaceae.